AUUGAACGCUGGCGGCAGGCCUAACACAUGCAAGUCGAGCGAGCGGCGGACGGGUGAGUAAUAUCUGGGAAACUGCCUGAUGGAGGGGGAUAACUACUGGAAACGGUAGCUAAUACCGCAUACCAUCAGAGUUGCCCAGAUGGGAUUAGCUAGUAUGUGGGGUAACGUCUCACCUAGGCGACGAUCCCUAGCUGGUCUGAGAGGGUGACCAGCCACACUGGAACGGAGCCACGGUCCAGACUCCUACGGGAGUCAGCAGUGGGGAAGAUUGCACAAUGGGCGCAAGCCUGAUGCAGCCAUGCCGCGUGUGUGAAGAAGGCCUUCGGGUUGUAAAGCACUUUCAGCGGGGAGGCGUUACCCGCAGAAGAAGCACCGGCUAACUCCGUGCCAGCAGCCGCGGUAAUUG
This 406-nucleotide ribosomal RNA is filed under the name uncultured bacterium. Its description in RNAcentral is "partial 16S ribosomal RNA". It matches the Rfam family "Bacterial small subunit ribosomal RNA", at positions 30 to 527 of the family's 1533-position model. The record is from RNAcentral.